Non-coding RNA from Procambarus clarkii (red swamp crayfish), 932 nucleotides. NCBI's taxonomy places the organism in Eukaryota, Metazoa, Arthropoda, Malacostraca, Decapoda, Cambaridae. The record is from RefSeq and is a predicted model, not a curated record.
ACUGCCAUCUGUUGAGUAGUGUGGUAACUAUGUGUGGUGGCAGGUGGACGCUGAUAGUGUAUCACACCUCUUGAAAUGUAGUCUGGCAGGUGGAGGGUGUCACGGGUUCAAAAUGGUCUCAGGGUCUUGCUUAAACAAUAAUAGUAUGGAUUCGUACAAAUUACUGGACUUAUCUGGCUCAGACUCUGAAAAUGAAGUCAUACAUUUCGCUCCAAUGCCUGACAACCCUCCACCCCAAAGAAAGAAGAGAUUGAAAAGACGGGAGCGUGAUCUUCUGCGAGUGUCGCCUAGUCAGGUGGACGAGGAGUCAGGGCGGUGGUGUGGGUGUGUGGGCGUGGGCGUGGGUGCUCACGGCUGUCACUCGUGGAUAGCCAGUCCCGGGGAGGCUGUUCGAUCCGCACUAUUGUUGUUAGCACUCACAGGCCUCUCCCUGCUUACCUGGCUCGCGCUUCACCUUCAGGCUCGACUGGACGCAACUCAACACUUCAUUACAACAGGUAGGAGGUGUACUGGUGUGUCCUGCCCCCCACCUUCUCUCUCUCUCUCCUGGGAAGGCCAGCAGUGUGUGUGUUGACUCUCUGGUGUGGUGUCUGUGCCACAGCGCUACCAGAUCCUCCCUGUGUCGUGUUGAGGAGGCUGUGGCAGCGUCUCCUCCAGGCGUGGUUCCCGCCGCCGCCGUGCUGGCCAGCGGCUCCUCUCAGCCUCGUCUGGUUGAAAUUGAAAUUGAAAUAAGUUUAUUGAGGUAAAAUACACACAAAGGGAUGAGGUAGCUCAAGCUAUUCUCACCCCGUUUCGUCAUGUUUGUAGUUUAAUAGUAAGGUAAUUUGCGGAAUGUUGCGAGAAGUCUGUUGAUGCGAUUUUGUCUUUGAUAUCGAAAUGUUUCUAAUGUUUUUAACAGCUCUCACUCACUCACUCUAAUAUAAUGUAUGUGG